This 99-nucleotide small nuclear RNA is filed under the name Marmota marmota marmota (Alpine marmot). Lineage: Eukaryota; Metazoa; Chordata; Mammalia; Rodentia; Sciuridae. RNAcentral also lists the same sequence under 1 other name. The record is from RNAcentral.
GUGAUUGCUUCAGCAGCACAUAUAUUAAAAAUUGGAAUGAUACAGAGAGGAUAGCAUGGCCCCUGCACAAGGAUGACAUAUGAAGCAGUCCAUAUUAAA